GGGGACGCGUGGUUUCGACAGGGGAGGUAGGCUACAGGAUUGCAGGCUGAGGUGCCACUAUCUCAAUAAACAGGUGGCAAAAAAAGAAACGACGAACCAGUAUUAAUCGCAGCCUAACAAAAUAAGGUUGCACAUCCUACCCGACCCCGCCCUGGCGGGUUGGGAUAGGGUGCCGAAAUGCCGGGGUGCCGUCGCUCUACUAACCGGUAAGGGCGACGAAAGAAAAACCGGUCUGGCCCGGCUUAACUAGGUCGGCAGAGGUAAGCGGGGCGAGAUUAAAGAGCCGACUAAGCCUGUAGCAUAUUCUGGGCAGCUUCCUUUGGACGGGGAGUUCGACUCUCCCCCGUCUCCACCA
RNAcentral lists this transfer-messenger RNA (355 nucleotides) under Dehalococcoidales. RNAcentral describes it as "JACPQH01 sp016190585 Standard tmRNA". It matches the Rfam family "transfer-messenger RNA". Rfam says of the family: Bacterial tmRNA, also known as 10Sa RNA or SsrA, is named for its dual tRNA and mRNA-like properties. Its role is to liberate the mRNA from a stalled ribosome. Lineage: Bacteria; Bacillati; Chloroflexota; Dehalococcoidia. RNAcentral also lists the same sequence under 1 other name. The record is from RNAcentral.